UGACCAUCGUGGUGACCACCCUGGCACACAGCCAUGGAGCACUGACCACCACACUGACCACCCUGGCCACCAUGGGGACAGCUCCUGACCACAGUGACCACCACAGUGACCACCACAGUGACCACCACAGUGACCACAGUGACCACCCUGGGGACAGUUCCUGACCGCAGUGACCAUCAUGAGCCCAUGGCCACAGUGCAGUGACACUGUCCUGUCUGUCCCUCUGUCCGACUGACGCUCCGUCCGACUGUCCCUGCGGUUUUGGGGUCCCCCAGCUCCAUCCCAAUAAACCUGGUGGUGUCACCCCUGUUC
Molecule: long non-coding RNA, 312 nt
Filed under: Parus major (Great Tit)
Lineage: Eukaryota; Metazoa; Chordata; Aves; Passeriformes; Paridae
Description: lncRNA (ENSPMJG00000001974.1)
Source: RNAcentral